GAAUUUAAUAUUAUUUGUUAAGAUAAGGGAUAUUUAAGGGAUAAUAUUUUAUUGGGAGGAUAGUUAAAUUUAUAAAACUUUAAGUGAAAUUUGAAUAUAAAUUGGUAAAUUUUAGAGUGAUUUGUAAAUUGAUAAAGAAUUAAUUACCUUAGGGAUAACAGCGUAAUAUUUUUGAAGAGUUCAUAUUGAUAAAAAUGUUUGC
Molecule: ribosomal RNA, 202 nt
Filed under: Solenopsis sp. 01.FGSGt.gp.pygmaea
Lineage: Eukaryota; Metazoa; Arthropoda; Insecta; Hymenoptera; Formicidae
Description: partial large subunit ribosomal RNA
Source: RNAcentral